Molecule: ribosomal RNA, 489 nt
Filed under: uncultured bacterium
Lineage: Bacteria
Description: partial 16S ribosomal RNA
Rfam family: Bacterial small subunit ribosomal RNA
Source: RNAcentral
GAUGAACGCUAGCGGCAGGCUUAAUACAUGCAAGUCGAGGGGCAGCAGGACUGUAGCAAUCCAGUUGCUGGCGACCGGCACACGGGUGCGGAACACGUACGCAACCUACCCAAAACUGGGGGAUAGCCCGGGGAAACCCGGAUUAAUACCUCGUAACCUUUUUAAGUGGCAUCACUUGAUAAGUAUAGCUCCGGCGGUUUUGGAUGGGCGUGCGCCUGAUUAGGUAGUUGGUGCGGGUAACGGCCCACCAAGCCUGCGAUCAGUAACUGGUGUGAGAGCACGACCAGUCACACGGGCACUGAGACACGGGCCCGACUCCGACGGGAGGCAGCAGUAAGGAAUAUUGGUCAAUGGACGCAAGUCUGAACCAGCCAUGCCGCGUGAAGGAUGAAGGUCCUCUGGAUUGUAAACUUCUUUUAUGGGGGACGAAACCCGGAUAUUCUUAUCCGAUUGACGGUACCUCAGGAAUAAGCACCGGCUAACUCCGUG